CACGUAGUUAGCCGGCGCUUCUUCUGCAGGUACCGUCACUCUCGCUUCUUCCCUACUGAAAGAGGUUUACAACCCGAAGGCCGUCAUCCCUCACGCGGCGUCGCUGCAUCAGGCUUUCGCCCAUUGUGCAAUAUUCCCCACUGCUGCCUCCCGUAGGAGUCUGGGCCGUGUCUCAGUCCCAGUGUGGCCGGUCCGCCCUCUCAGGCCGGCUACCCGUCAUCGUCUUGGUGAGCCAUUACCUCACCAACAAACUGAUAGGCCGCGAGUCCAUCCUUCACCGAUAAAUCUUUCCAACCCCCGACCAUGCGACAAGGGUUCAUAUCCGGUAUUAGCCACGAUUUCCCGAGGUUAUCCCGAAGUGAAGGGCAGGUUACUCACGUGUUACUCACCCGUUCGCCACUAAUCAGACCUUGCAAGCACGGUCGUCAUCGUUCGACUUGCAUGUGUUAAGCACGCCGCCAGCGUCGUCUCGUGCGCGAGUCAACUAC
This 488-nucleotide ribosomal RNA is filed under the name uncultured Brachybacterium sp. RNAcentral's name for it is "partial 16S ribosomal RNA". The record is from RNAcentral. Lineage: Bacteria; Bacillati; Actinomycetota; Actinomycetes; Micrococcales; Dermabacteraceae.